This 405-nucleotide long non-coding RNA is filed under the name Oryza brachyantha (malo sina). RNAcentral describes it as "long non-coding RNA (OBRA_LNC001755)". Lineage: Eukaryota; Viridiplantae; Streptophyta; Magnoliopsida; Poales; Poaceae. The record is from RNAcentral.
GCAUGAAGUUUCAGUUUGAAAAUCACAAUCAUGAAAGAGACAUAAGAGAUUUACAAAAUACACUAAUUAAGAUCUACGAAGCUACAUUACAUUACCCAGGAGAUGCAGUCACGGAUUAGGUCAGACAUGACGAUCGAAUCUCCACUAGCUUAAUUCGCUUGUAUUUUUCUUUGUGAGAUAAUGAUAGACGAAAGACAAAUCUAUUCCCUUCUGACUUUAGUUAAUAAUAGCAUAAAAUCCACUAGUUUUUCACCCAUAUUUUGAAAAAUUUUGCAAUGUUUCGUCUCAAAUUAUAUACUAUCAGCUAAGCCAAAAUCAGCAGAAAUGGACUUCCAUUAAUUCUCGAGCUCUCGACACCAUUGCUAGGUGCUAGCAUAGCGCAGCCAUGAACGGCUUUGUUCCGAG